GGAGGGGGGGCUAGCGUUGUCGGAAUUACUGGGCGUAAAGCGCACGGUAGGCGGUGUAUCAAGUCAGAGGGUGAAAGGCCUGGGCUCAACCUGGGAACUGCCUUUGAUACUGAUACGCUUGAGAGCGGGAGAGGGUAGCGGAAUUCCCAGUGUAGAGGUGAAAUUCGUAGAUAUUGGGAAGAACACCAGUUGCGAAGGCGGCUACCUGGCCCGGUACUGACGCUGAGGUGCGAAAGCGUCGGGGAGCAAACAGGAUUAGAUACCCUGGUAGUCCACGCCGUAAACGAUGGGUGCUAGUUGUUGGGGCCUCAGGUCUCAGUGACGGAGCUAACGCGUUAAGCACCCCGCCUGGGGAGUACGGCCGCAAAGGCUA
This 373-nucleotide ribosomal RNA is filed under the name uncultured organism. RNAcentral's name for it is "partial 16S ribosomal RNA". It matches the Rfam family "Bacterial small subunit ribosomal RNA", at positions 525 to 896 of the family's 1533-position model. The record is from RNAcentral.